RNAcentral lists this ribosomal RNA (252 nucleotides) under uncultured bacterium. RNAcentral describes it as "partial 16S ribosomal RNA". It matches the Rfam family "Bacterial small subunit ribosomal RNA", at positions 524 to 776 of the family's 1533-position model. The record is from RNAcentral.
UACGGAGGAUGCGAGCGUUAUCCGGAUUUAUUGGGUUUAAAGGGUGCGCAGGCGGCACGGCAAGCCGGCGGUCAAAUCGCGGGGCUCAACCCCGCCCAGCCGUCGGAACUGCCGGGCUAGAGUGGGUGAGAAGUGCGCGGAAUGCGUGGUGUAGCGGUGAAAUGCAUAGAUAUCACGCAGAACUCCGAUUGCGAAGGCAGCGCACCGGCGCCCUACUGACGCUCAGGCACGAAAGCGUGGGUAUCGAACAGG